GACGAACGCUGGCGGCGUGCUUAACACAUGCAAGUCGAACGGAAAGGCCCUGCUUGCAGGGUGCUCGAGUGGCGAACGGGUGAGUAACACGUGGGUGAUCUGCCCCUUACUUUGGGAUAAGCCUGGGAAACUGGGUCUAAUACUGGAUAGGACCAUGCUGUAGGUGGUGUGGUGGAAAGAUUAGUUUCGGUAAGGGAUGAGCUCGCGGCCUAUCAGCUUGUUGGUGGGGUAAUGGCCUACCAAGGCGUCGACGGUAGCCGGCCUGAGAGGGUGGACGGCCACAUUGGGACUGAGAUACGGCCCAGACUCCUACGGGAGGCAGCAGUGGGGAAUAUUGCACAAUGGGCGCAAGCCUGAUGCAGCGACGCCGCGUGGGGGAUGACGGCCUUCGGGUUGUAAACUCCUUUCAGCCAUGACGAAGCCCUUGUGGUGACGGUAGUGGUAGAAGAAGCACCGGCUAACUACGUG
RNAcentral lists this ribosomal RNA (468 nucleotides) under uncultured bacterium. RNAcentral's name for it is "partial 16S ribosomal RNA". It matches the Rfam family "Bacterial small subunit ribosomal RNA", at positions 28 to 507 of the family's 1533-position model. The record is from RNAcentral.